This 484-nucleotide ribosomal RNA is filed under the name uncultured bacterium. RNAcentral's name for it is "partial 16S ribosomal RNA". It matches the Rfam family "Bacterial small subunit ribosomal RNA", at positions 30 to 507 of the family's 1533-position model. The record is from RNAcentral.
AUUGAACGCUGGCGGCAGGCCUAACACAUGCAAGUCGAGCGGAUGCAGGGAGCUUGCUCCUGGAUUCAGCGGCGGACGGGCGAGUAAUGCCUAGGAAUCUGCCUGGUAGUGGGGGAUAACGUCCGGAAACGGGCGCUAAUACCGCAUACGUCCUGAGGGCGAACGUGGGGGAUCUUCGGACCUCACGCUAUCAGAUGAGCCUAGGUCGGAUUAGCUAGUUGGUGGGGUAAAGGCCUACCAAGGCGACGAUCCGUAGCUGGUCUGAGAGGAUGAUCAGUCACACUGGAACUGAGACACGGUCCAGACUCCUACGGGAGGCAGCAGUGGGGAAUAUUGGACAAUGGGCGAAAGCCUGAUCCAGCCAUGCCGCGUGUGUGAAGAAGGUCUUCGGGUUGUAAAGCACUUUAGGUUGGGAGGAAGGGCGGUAAGUUAAUACCUUGCUGUUUUGACGUUACCAACAGAAUAAGCACCGGCUAACUUCGUG